AGCGUACACGGUGGAUGCCCUGGCAGUCAGAGGCGAUGAAGGACGUGCUAAUCUGCGAUAAGCGUCGGUAAGGUGAUAUGAACCGUUAUAACCGGCGAUUUCCGAAUGGGGAAACCCAGUGUGAUUCGUCACACUAUCAUUAACUGAAUCCAUAGGUUAAUGAGGCGAACCGGGGGAACUGAAACAUCUAAGUACCCCGAGGAAAAGAAAUCAACCGAGAUUCCCCCAGUAGCGGCGAGCGAACGGGGAGCAGCCCAGAGCCUGAAUCAGUGUGUGUGUUAGUGGAAGCGUCUGGAAAGGCGCGCGAUACAGGGUGACAGCCCCGUACACAAAAAUGCACAUGCUGUGAGCUCGAUGAGUAGGGCGGGACACGUGGUAUCCUGUCUGAAUAUGGGGGGACCAUCCUCCAAGGCUAAAUACUCCUGACUGACCGAUAGUGAACCAGUACCGUGAGGGAAAGGCGAAAAGAACCCCGGCGAGGGGAGUGAAAAAGAACCUGAAACCGUGUACGUACAAGCAGUGGGAGCACGCUUAGGCGUGUGACUGCGUACCUUUUGUAUAAUGGGUCAGCGACUUAUAUUCUGUAGCAAGGUUAACCGAAUAGGGGAGCCGAAGGGAAACCGAGUCUUAACUGGGCGUUAAGUUGCAGGGUAUAGACCCGAAACCCGGUGAUCUAGCCAUGGGCAGGUUGAAGGUUGGGUAACACUAACUGGAGGACCGAACCGACUAAUGUUGAAAAAUUAGCGGAUGACUUGUGGCUGGGGGUGAAAGGCCAAUCAAACCGGGAGAUAGCUGGUUCUCCCCGAAAGCUAUUUAGGUAGCGCCUCGUGAAUUCAUCUCCGGGGGUAGAGCACUGUUUCGGCAAGGGGGUCAUCCCGACUUACCAACCCGAUGCAAACUGCGAAUACCGGAGAAUGUUAUCACGGGAGACACACGGCGGGUGCUAACGUCCGUCGUGAAGAGGGAAACAACCCAGACCGCCAGCUAAGGUCCCAAAGUCAUGGUUAAGUGGGAAACGAUGUGGGAAGGCCCAGACAGCCAGGAUGUUGGCUUAGAAGCAGCCAUCAUUUAAAGAAAGCGUAAUAGCUCACUGGUCGAGUCGGCCUGCGCGGAAGAUGUAACGGGGCUAAACCAUGCACCGAAGCUGCGGCAGCGACACUAUGUGUUGUUGGGUAGGGGAGCGUUCUGUAAGCCUGUGAAGGUGUACUGUGAGGUAUGCUGGAGGUAUCAGAAGUGCGAAUGCUGACAUAAGUAACGAUAAAGCGGGUGAAAAGCCCGCUCGCCGGAAGACCAAGGGUUCCUGUCCAACGUUAAUCGGGGCAGGGUGAGUCGACCCCUAAGGCGAGGCCGAAAGGCGUAGUCGAUGGGAAACAGGUUAAUAUUCCUGUACUUGGUGUUACUGCGAAGGGGGGACGGAGAAGGCUAUGUUGGCCGGGCGACGGUUGUCCCGGUUUAAGCGUGUAGGCUGGUUUUCCAGGCAAAUCCGGAAAAUCAAGGCUGAGGCGUGAUGACGAGGCACUACGGUGCUGAAGCAACAAAUGCCCUGCUUCCAGGAAAAGCCUCUAAGCAUCAGGUAACAUCAAAUCGUACCCCAAACCGACACAGGUGGUCAGGUAGAGAAUACCAAGGCGCUUGAGAGAACUCGGGUGAAGGAACUAGGCAAAAUGGUGCCGUAACUUCGGGAGAAGGCACGCUGAUAUGUAGGUGAAGUCCCUCGCGGAUGGAGCUGAAAUCAGUCGAAGAUACCAGCUGGCUGCAACUGUUUAUUAAAAACACAGCACUGUGCAAACACGAAAGUGGACGUAUACGGUGUGACGCCUGCCCGGUGCCGGAAGGUUAAUUGAUGGGGUCAGCGCAAGCGAAGCUCUUGAUCGAAGCCCCGGUAAACGGCGGCCGUAACUAUAACGGUCCUAAGGUAGCGAAAUUCCUUGUCGGGUAAGUUCCGACCUGCACGAAUGGCGUAAUGAUGGCCAGGCUGUCUCCACCCGAGACUCAGUGAAAUUGAACUCGCUGUGAAGAUGCAGUGUACCCGCGGCAAGACGGAAAGACCCCGUGAACCUUUACUAUAGCUUGACACUGAACAUUGAGCCUUGAUGUGUAGGAUAGGUGGGAGGCUUUGAAGUGUGGACGCCAGUCUGCAUGGAGCCGACCUUGAAAUACCACCCUUUAAUGUUUGAUGUUCUAACGUUGACCCGUAAUCCGGGUUGCGGACAGUGUCUGGUGGGUAGUUUGACUGGGGCGGUCUCCUCCUAAAGAGUAACGGAGGAGCACGAAGGUUGGCUAAUCCUGGUCGGACAUCAGGAGGUUAGUGCAAUGGCAUAAGCCAGCUUGACUGCGAGCGUGACGGCGCGAGCAGGUGCGAAAGCAGGUCAUAGUGAUCCGGUGGUUCUGAAUGGAAGGGCCAUCGCUCAACGGAUAAAAGGUACUCCGGGGAUAACAGGCUGAUACCGCCCAAGAGUUCAUAUCGACGGCGGUGUUUGGCACCUCGAUGUCGGCUCAUCACAUCCUGGGGCUGAAGUAGGUCCCAAGGGUAUGGCUGUUCGCCAUUUAAAGUGGUACGCGAGCUGGGUUUAGAACGUCGUGAGACAGUUCGGUCCCUAUCUGCCGUGGGCGCUGGAGAACUGAGGGGGGCUGCUCCUAGUACGAGAGGACCGGAGUGGACGCAUCACUGGUGUUCGGGUUGUCAUGCCAAUGGCACUGCCCGGUAGCUAAAUGCGGAAGAGAUAAGUGCUGAAAGCAUCUAAGCACGAAACUUGCCCCGAGAUGAGUUCUCCCUGACUCCUUGA
RNAcentral lists this ribosomal RNA (2786 nucleotides) under Escherichia coli. RNAcentral describes it as "bacterial LSU rRNA". It matches the Rfam family "Bacterial large subunit ribosomal RNA". The record is from RNAcentral. Lineage: Bacteria; Pseudomonadati; Pseudomonadota; Gammaproteobacteria; Enterobacterales; Enterobacteriaceae.